UAUUUUUAAGGGUUUUGGGAUUUCGGGUUUUGGGGUAUCCAGAUUCCUAGCUUUAGGGUUUCGCGGAUUCCUGGUUUAGGGUUUCAAACUCUAGGGUUGCGAGGGUUCCUGGUUUAGGGUUUCAAACUCUAGGGUUGCGAGGGUUCCUGGUUUAGGGUUUCAAACUCUAGGGUUGCGAGGGUUCCUGGUUUAGGGUUUCAAACUCUAGGGUUGCGAGGGUUCCUGGUUUAGGGUUUCAAACUCUAGGGUUGCGAGGGUUCCUGGUUUAGGGUUGCGCGGGUCCCGGGGUUUAGGGUUUCAGGGUAUCGCGGGGUUUUAGGGUUUUAGGGUUUUAGGGUUUUAGGGUUUUAAGGGUUUUAGGGUUUUAGGGUUUUAGGGUUUUAGGGUUUUACCCCUUUUGGAAGGAUAUGCCAGGAAGCAGACGCCCUUGGUAGGGGGGUCAAUCGAUCACAUUUUUCACGUAUAAUCCAUUUAUGCUAUCAAAUAUGGCCAUACCAUGGGGUAUUUGGAAAGUUAUGGCCAAAAUAAGGCUUAAAACCCAUUUUUCUCAAAAAUGAGGGUCGGUCUGGGGGUAAAAAAAAACAUAUCUAUAUAUGUCAUUGAAAACUACAUCCGUUGGUGAUUUCAAAAAUACCUGUUUCAUGGCUACCAGAAAAGUUAUGGGCCAAAAAUGGAGGCCCUGUCUUAACUAGGCAUUAAUUUACCCCUUCUGGAAGGCUAUGCCCGGAAGCAGAUACCCUUGAUAGGG
RNAcentral lists this long non-coding RNA (748 nucleotides) under Volvox carteri. Its description in RNAcentral is "long non-coding RNA (VCAR_LNC000663)". Lineage: Eukaryota; Viridiplantae; Chlorophyta; Chlorophyceae; Chlamydomonadales; Volvocaceae. The record is from RNAcentral.